AGCGAACGCUGGCGGCAUGCCUAACACAUGCAAGUCGCACGGGGGGGCUUCGGCCUCCCAGUGGCGGACGGGUGAGGAACGCGUAGGGACCUGUCGAGGGGUGGGGGAUAACCGCGGGAAACUGCGGCUAAUACCGCAUGACGCCGCGGCGUGACAGCCGGGGCCAAAGGCGAAAGCCGCCCGCCGAGGGGCCUGCGUCCGAUUAGCUGGUUGGCGGGGUAGCGGCCCACCAAUGCGUCGAUCGGUAGCUGGUCUGAGAGGGUGAUCAGCCACACCGGGACUGAGACACGGCCCGGACUCCUACGGGAGGCAGCAGUGGGGAAUAUUGGACAAUGGGCGCAAGCCUGAUCCAGCAAUGCCGCGUGGGUGAAGAAGGUCUUCGGAUUGUAAAGCCCUUUCGGCGGGGACGAUGGUGACGGUACCCGCAGAAGAAGCCCCGGCUAACUUCGUG
Molecule: ribosomal RNA, 451 nt
Filed under: uncultured bacterium
Lineage: Bacteria
Description: partial 16S ribosomal RNA
Rfam family: Bacterial small subunit ribosomal RNA
Source: RNAcentral